GACGAACGCUGGCGGCGUGCCUAAUACAUGCAAGUCGAGCGGACCAAAGGGAGCUUGCUCCUGGAGGUUAGCGGCGAACGGGUGAGUAACACGUGGGCAACCUGCCUGUAAGACUGGGAUAACAUCGAGAAAUCGGUGCUAAUACCGGAUAAUAAAAAGAACUGCAUGGUUCUUUUUUGAAAGAUGGUUUCGGCUAUCACUUACAGAUGGGCCCGCGGUGCAUUAGCUAGUUGGUGAGGUAACGGCUCACCAAGGCGACGAUGCGUAGCCGACCUGAGAGGGUGAUCGGCCACACUGGGACUGAGACACGGCCCAGACUCCUACGGGAGGCAGCAGUAGGGAAUCUUCCGCAAUGGACGAAAGUCUGACGGAGCAACGCCGCGUGAGUGAUGAAGGUUUUCGGAUCGUAAAACUCUGUUGUUAGGGAAGAACAAGUGCCGUUCGAAAGGGCGGCACCUUGACGGUACCUAACGAGAAAGCCACGGCUAACUACGUGCCAGCAGCCGCGGUAAAG
This 514-nucleotide ribosomal RNA is filed under the name uncultured bacterium. RNAcentral's name for it is "bacterial SSU rRNA". It matches the Rfam family "Bacterial small subunit ribosomal RNA", at positions 28 to 525 of the family's 1533-position model. The record is from RNAcentral.